GCACUGGUGGUUCAGCGGUAGAAUUCGCACCUUCCACGCGGGAGACCAGGGUUCGAUGCCCAGCCAGUGCU
This 71-nucleotide transfer RNA is filed under the name Loxodonta africana (African savanna elephant). It matches the Rfam family "tRNA". From Rfam's summary of the family: Transfer RNA (tRNA) molecules are approximately 80 nucleotides in length. Their secondary structure includes four short double-helical elements and three loops (D, anti-codon, and T loops). Lineage: Eukaryota; Metazoa; Chordata; Mammalia; Proboscidea; Elephantidae. The record is from Rfam by way of RNAcentral.